GACGAACGCUGGCGGCGCGCCUAACACAUGCAAGUCGAACGAGCGAGAGAGAGCUUGCUUUCUCGAGCGAGUGGCGAACGGGUGAGUAACGCGUGAGGAACCCGCCUCAAAGAGGGGGACAACAGUUGGAAACGACUGCUAAUACCGCAUAAGCCCACGGUGCCGCAUGGCACAGUGGGACAAGGAGCAAUCCGCUUUGAGAUGGCCUCGCGUCCGAUUAGCUAGGUGGUGAGGUAAUGGCCCACCAAGGCGACGAUCGGUAGCCGGACUGAGAGGUUGAGCGGCCACAUUGGGACUGAGACACGGCCCAGACUCCUACGGGAGGCAGCAGUGGGGAAUAUUGCACAAUGGGGGAAACCCUGAUGCAGCGACGCCGCGUGGAGGAAGAAGGUCUUCGGAUUGUAAACUCCUGUUGUUGGGGAAGAUAAUGACGGUACCCAACAAGGAAGUGACGGCUAACUACGUG
Molecule: ribosomal RNA, 466 nt
Filed under: uncultured bacterium
Lineage: Bacteria
Description: partial 16S ribosomal RNA
Rfam family: Bacterial small subunit ribosomal RNA
Source: RNAcentral